This is a long non-coding RNA of Biomphalaria glabrata, 1191 nucleotides long. RefSeq lists it as uncharacterized. NCBI's taxonomy places the organism in Eukaryota, Metazoa, Mollusca, Gastropoda, Planorbidae. The transcript has 3 exons. The record is from RefSeq and is a predicted model, not a curated record.
UGAAUCAUAGACUAUAUAUUACAUGGACUGCCAACUCUACGCACUAAGCCUAUAUUUUUCAAUAAACAAGUCCCGUUCACGGAGGCGUCCUUGGUUGCGUGGUAAAUUGACUUCCGGUAGAUUUUUUUUUUACGUAUAAAGAAACCAUUCUCGAAGAUUUUUACCACCACUUUUACAGCAAAUCAUGAAUGGAAACUGAAUUGUUAAAGAAGAUGUUACAGAGGAGCAUACUACUUCCACAAACCUGAUUUGAUUGUCACUAACUUUCAAAUUGAAAGGGAUCUACUACAACUGCUCAUGAAUUUCGAGAUUUUACAGGUAAUAGAGGAACAAAUUUUAUCUGCUUCCACUUAGCCAAACAGCAUGGAAAUAUGCUAUUGUAAUGAGUAGAAGAUAUUUGUCAUUUAGAGUAUCAUGCAACAGCUAAUUAUCAGUCCACACAUUUCAAGAUGAGGAAAAGAACAGUAUAAGCUACAUUCAUUGAUGCAUUAUUUAUACAAAAAUGUAUAGUCAACCCAGUCAUCACUCCAUUUUUUUAUGAAGCCAGUUACAGUUACCAUGAAGGGAUGAAAUUUCAGAUAAUAUUCUGUUUAUUUCAUGAAAUGAGAAUAGGCCUACAUCAGAAAUUGAGAUGGUCAUCUUCAGUAUUUAAUGUUUCAUCUAAAAAUGAUAAUUAUAUUAAUACAUAUUUGAUGUACAAACAAAUGAAAACCAUUCAAACACUUUUUUUUGUGAAGUAUAGAUGAUUAAACUUGUAAGUGUCUGAACAAUACUACAUCGACAUUAACUUAUUAUUAUAGACUUUUUACAGGAAUGUAUCUUAAGCUGGACUGAAAGAGAAAGUUGCUAUAAUUUAAAUAAUAAAAUUUAAUAGUCUGAACAUGCAACUAAAAAUUGAAUAAUGCUAACAUUUAUUGACAAGUGAAUAUUGGUAAUGAUGUGCUUUCUAUUUUAAUAAGUCAAUAAUAUUAGUAAGAACAAUAUUAUCUUCACUUUCUUAAUAUUAUAAACACAAUAUUUCCUGAAAAGAUUUUUUUAAAUUAUAGAAAUAAUGCUCAAGUCUUCAGAAAUGGUAGUUUUCAGAAUCAUCAAAUCAAGGACAACAUAGUAUUCAUGAACUUCCAGCUAUCAGCAAGCUCCUAGUAGGUAUUAUGGAGCACAUUCUCCUUCAACUCAGAGGAUCACAGGCAC